CAACCCUCGGGCCCCGCAUUCGUGCGGGCCCCGGCGUUGGGGACCGGCCCCCGCAUCGGACGGUCGCCCCCAAAAACCAGUGGCGGUCCCGCCGCGGCCUUCUCUGCGUAGUAGCAUACACCUCGCACUGGAGAGCGGCGCGGCCACGCCGUAAAAGAAACGAACUUCUAAA
Molecule: unclassified non-coding RNA, 172 nt
Filed under: uncultured Acremonium
Lineage: Eukaryota; Fungi; Ascomycota
Description: sequence contains ITS2
Source: RNAcentral